UUACCAUCAUCUCUCUCAAACACACACACACACUCCGCCACAGAGUAAAUAGAGAUAUACAUAAGGAAAAGAGCUAGCCUAAUACAGGAGUGAACGGGCAGAAACAGAGUGAGAAAUUCCGAUGACAACAGCAAUCCGUUUCAGUUAUCACUGAGAAACAGGGUCCAUUAGAGGUUCGUCAAUUUCCAGCGAGCUUCAAGAUCGUCGAAGGUCCUGGUCUGAGGUCUCUGUUCAGCGCCAUUUUCAAUCGAGUGAAGCCCAUUCCGGUUAAUGUCCAACCUUUAUUUGGCAUUUUUGAACUAUUUCUUUGCUUUCAAUAGGUAAACCUCGUCAUCUUUGCCUUAUUUAUUUUCUAGCUCGCCUAUUCCUUCUUUUGUUGAAU
Molecule: long non-coding RNA, 382 nt
Filed under: Nicotiana benthamiana
Lineage: Eukaryota; Viridiplantae; Streptophyta; Magnoliopsida; Solanales; Solanaceae
Description: long non-coding RNA (NBEN_LNC035925)
Source: RNAcentral